GCAUUCAGUGCUGCACAGUGCACAUCUAAGACAGCACAUGGCAAUAGCUUGGCAUGUCACAUGACACCGGCACAGUCUGGCACAGUUUUAAAAAAAAAAUAUAUAAACAGAGUACUUUUGACUGUAACAGUAUUAGGACUGAAUGUGUGUGUUCCCCAUGUCACAUGGUAUGAACCAUAAAAAAAAAUUAAAAUUUUUUUUUAUUUUUUUUUAGGACUCUUGGGCCCCUCAACAGAAACUGGGCCCUGGGCAGCUGCCCCUUUUGCCCUGUGUUAAAGACGGCCCUGCGUGUAUAUUGCACUUUGUGAUAAGUGCUUGAAGCUUAUUAUUCAUUCCUGUGAAGAGCUGCCCUCUGCUGGGAUCACCGGAAUCAUCAUUAGCCUUUUGUGGCGCCUCUUUGAUUCUUACUAUCACUGUGUUUUCAGUGUGAACUGAGCAUCUCUUUUCUAUAUACUUUAUUCUAACACUCCUCGCUCAUUAAAAAUACUCCUUAUUUUUACUAUGAAGUUCUAAGCAUACUGUGUGAAAUGGUAUGAUUAUGAUACGUCAUUUGUUUAACCCCAUAUUCUGUAACCCUUGUCUAUAAAAGUCUGUGAUGCCUUAUAAUAAACAGAACAGUGAUUGGACUUUA
Long non-coding RNA from Bombina bombina (fire-bellied toad), 631 nucleotides. RefSeq lists it as uncharacterized. The record is from RefSeq and is a predicted model, not a curated record. Lineage: Eukaryota; Metazoa; Chordata; Amphibia; Anura; Bombinatoridae. The transcript has 2 exons.